Molecule: ribosomal RNA, 691 nt
Filed under: uncultured bacterium
Lineage: Bacteria
Description: bacterial SSU rRNA
Rfam family: Bacterial small subunit ribosomal RNA
Source: RNAcentral
AACGCUAGCUACAGGCUUAACACAUGCAAGUCGAGGGGCAGCAUAAAAGUAGCAAUACUUUGGUGGCGACCGGCGCACGGGUGAGUAACGCGUAUGCAACCUACCUAUCAGAGGGGAAUAACCCGGCGAAAGUCGGACUAAUACCGCAUAAAACAGGGGCACCGCAUGGUGAUAUUUGUUAAAGAAAUUCGCUGAUAGAUGGGCAUGCGUUCCAUUAGGUAGUUGGUGAGGUAACGGCUCACCAAGCCGACGAUGGAUAGGGGAACUGAGAGGUUGGUCCCCCACACUGGUACUGAGACACGGACCAGACUCCUACGGGAGGCAGCAGUGAGGAAUAUUGGUCAAUGGGCGGGAGCCUGAACCAGCCAAGUCGCGUGAAGGAAGAAGGAUCUAUGGUUCGUAAACUUCUUUUGCAGGGGAAUAAAGUGCAGGACGUGUCCUGUUUUGUAUGUACCCUGAGAAUAAGGAUCGGCUAACUCCGUGCCGGCAGCCGCGGUAAUACGGAGGAUCCGAGCGUUAUCCGGAUUUAUUGGGUUUAAAGGGUGCGUAGGUGGUUUGAUAAGUCAGCGGUGAAAGUUUGCAGCUUAACUGUAAAAAUGCCGUUGAAACUGUCGGACUUGAGUGUAAAUGAGGUAGGCGGAAUGCGUGGUGUAGCGGUGAAAUGCAUAGAUAUCACGAAGAACUCCGAUUG